GACAAAUAACCAAGUGACAUUUUAAUUUCUGGCAUAAGAUCAGUAAUUCUUCCUUUAAUUCUACUUAUUGGGAACUUUGGGGGUAAUUAACCCGACCGUCCCCAUACCCUGUCCGGUAAUGAACGCCAAAAACACCAUCGCCUCGAUAUCCCGUCCGGUAUGAGAAUGAACUAUAUAUCUCAAAAUCCUUCUGGUAUGAGACUUCUCUUCCCCGUUCGAUUGAAGUAAUGUCCACGGUAGGGUUCCCUAUGUACCAGGUUUGUCCACCCUUUCCCAAGAUGCCUAAUAAGCUUUCAUUUAUUUAGAUUCACAUCAUCCAAACAACCACCAAAGCAUACCAAUGUAUCAUUUCAUAUUCACCGAUUAAUUUAAACGACAUUUAAGCAAACAAUAUAGUUUAACAUAACCGAAUAAUCAAGUAACCAGAUAAC
RNAcentral lists this long non-coding RNA (431 nucleotides) under Carica papaya (papaya). RNAcentral describes it as "long non-coding RNA (CPAP_LNC006080)". The record is from RNAcentral. Lineage: Eukaryota; Viridiplantae; Streptophyta; Magnoliopsida; Brassicales; Caricaceae.